CGAAGGGGGCUAGCGUUGUUCGGAAUCACUGGGCGUAAAGGGUGCGUAGGCGGGAUCUUAAGUCAGGGGUGAAAUCCCGAGGCUCAACCUCGGAACUGCCUUUGAUACUGGGGUCCUUGAGUCCGGAAGAGGUGAGUGGAACUGCGAGUGUAGAGGUGAAAUUCGUAGAUAUUCGCAAGAACACCGGUGGCGAAGGCGGCUCACUGGUCCGGAACUGACGCUGAGGCACGACAGCGUGGGGAGCAAACAGGAUU
This 254-nucleotide ribosomal RNA is filed under the name uncultured bacterium. Its description in RNAcentral is "partial 16S ribosomal RNA". It matches the Rfam family "Bacterial small subunit ribosomal RNA", at positions 526 to 779 of the family's 1533-position model. The record is from RNAcentral.